UACGGAGGAUCCAAGCGUUAUCCGGAAUCAUUGGGUUUAAAGGGUCCGUAGGCGGUUUGGUAAGUCAGUGGUGAAAGCCCAUCGCUCAACGGUGGAACGGCCAUUGAUACUGCCAGACUUGAAUUAUUAGGAAGUAACUAGAAUAUGUAGUGUAGCGGUGAAAUGCUUAGAGAUUACAUGGAAUACCAAUUGCGAAGGCAGGUUACUACUAAUGGAUUGACGCUGAUGGACGAAAAGCGUGGAUAGCGAACAGG
This 254-nucleotide ribosomal RNA is filed under the name uncultured bacterium. RNAcentral's name for it is "partial 16S ribosomal RNA". It matches the Rfam family "Bacterial small subunit ribosomal RNA", at positions 524 to 776 of the family's 1533-position model. The record is from RNAcentral.